AUUUAAAUUAGAAUUUUAUUUUUUAGUUAAAAAGCUAAAAUUUUAUUAAAAGACGAGAAGACCCUAUAAAUCUUUAUAAUUUUUUUUAAUUUAAUUUUUUAGGAUAAAUUUUAUUAUAAUAAAGGAAAUUAUUUUAUUGGGGUGAUAUUAAAAUUUAAAUAACUUUUAAUUAUUUAAAUUACAUUAAUUUAUGAAUUAUUGAUCCAUUAUUAAUGAUUAAAAAAUUAAGUUACUUUAGGGAUAACAGCGUAAUUUUUUUGGAGAGUUCUUAUCGAUAAAAAAGUUUGCGACCUCGAUGUUGGAUUAAGAGAUAUUUUUAAUGCAGAAGUUAAAAUAUAAAGUCUGUUCGACUUUUAAAUUCUUACAUGAUCUGAGUUCAAACCGGUGUAAGCCAGGUUGGUUUCUAUCUUUAAUUUUGUAUAAUAUUUUAGUACGAAAGGAAUUUAUAUUAGAAAAAAUUUUUUUUUAAAAGAAU
This 475-nucleotide ribosomal RNA is filed under the name Diasemopsis comoroensis. RNAcentral describes it as "partial 16S ribosomal RNA". The stretch from base 240 to 398 matches the Rfam family "Bacterial large subunit ribosomal RNA", at positions 2473 to 2632 of the family's 2925-position model. The record is from RNAcentral. Lineage: Eukaryota; Metazoa; Arthropoda; Insecta; Diptera; Diopsidae.